Long non-coding RNA from Camellia sinensis, 785 nucleotides. RefSeq lists it as uncharacterized. Lineage: Eukaryota; Viridiplantae; Streptophyta; Magnoliopsida; Ericales; Theaceae. The record is from RefSeq and is a predicted model, not a curated record.
UCCUCACCACCUUCCUGAAUAAUUCAGCCUCUAUAUGAGCUGAAGAUUGUAUACAAAAUCAGUAUCAACAAAUUCACUCUAUUCACUCUACAAAAUCCAUCCACCACCACCUUCAAAUUACCACCUACCAAAUUGUAAUCCCAAACUCUGCAGAACAAGAAGGCAAUAAGGUAGCAUCCCAAAACAUCAGCAGAACAAGAAAGCAGCAGCAGAACAAGAAGGCAGCAUCCAAAACAGGAUAGGAGUUUUAGUUGUUCCUCCCUAUCUUCGGCCCUUCUUCGACGCUCUGCAGCUUUCUGCUUACGGUCGAUCGCCUUUUGUUCAUCUCGCUCAAUAGUUCUAGCGGAAAUAGUUGAUAACACUUCAACAAUUUUGGAUUGGUUGGCAGCCAUUUCAUCAAAUUUACUAUCGUGCGUUGUUUGAUUCUUCAAUUUCUCUUUCCCGCUGCCUUAGUACCAAUUGGUCGUGUUGAUGUAUUAGAUGGUUGUUCGUGCACCGCAUUAUUCUGAUUGGUUGAAAUGCGUCAGAUUCUCCAGUUGGUGGAUUCGAACAUGGAUAAGCAUGUUGCGUGCUUCUUUGGGAUUAUGCUCGAAAUUCAUCCCACUUACAACUUCGGCGCAAAAUAUCCCAACAUGUAUCAAAUGUAAAGUGUUUUUUCUGUAUUGCAUGAUACAUCUGCUUCGCUUCAGCGAUCUACAAAAAAAAUUACAAAAAUUGUAAUAACAAGUAUACAUUUACAAAAGAAAUUUGAUAUUUAGAAAGACAAAUAAAUUUUACCAUGUCUA